Long non-coding RNA from Ostrea edulis (European flat oyster), 416 nucleotides. RefSeq lists it as uncharacterized. The transcript has 4 exons. Lineage: Eukaryota; Metazoa; Mollusca; Bivalvia; Ostreida; Ostreidae. The record is from RefSeq and is a predicted model, not a curated record.
AGCUUACACUAUAUAUAUGAAAUACCAAAACGUCGAACAGUCAAAACCAGGGACUGUAGCAGAAAGAUGAAGUCGGUUAUGUAUCUAGUCCUUCUGUUGCUUCUUCAUUGCCUUUCUGACAAUGUAGAGGGCAAAUCGAUGGGGAAAAAGAAAAAUUGUUGCGGCUUUUGAUCGGGUUGGGGCUGUAGAUGCCGCUCAUCAGAAAAGUUUAUGUCGGAGUUUGCCAAAUUUCUCAAUAAAGAGGAAAAUCAAAUACAGAGAAAUAUGAAUCCCAGCAGAGAAGAAUGAAGAAAGAUUUCCAUAACAGAAGAGAAAACAAAAUUGAAAGUUUCUCUUCCGUUCAUUCCUAUUUUAUUUUUAGACACAAAAUGCUCUUAUAGAUUCUGAAAUUCUUGAUUAAACAUUUUUUUCUCUGA